RNAcentral lists this ribosomal RNA (250 nucleotides) under uncultured bacterium. Its description in RNAcentral is "partial 16S ribosomal RNA". It matches the Rfam family "Bacterial small subunit ribosomal RNA", at positions 83 to 334 of the family's 1533-position model. The record is from RNAcentral.
AAGAGAUGGCGACCGGCGCACGGGUGAGUAACACGUAUCCAACCUGCCGAUAACUCCGGAAUAGCCUUUCGAAAGAAAGAUUAAUACCGGAUGGCAUACGAAUAUCGCAUGAUAUUUUUAUUAAAGAAUUUCGGUUAUCGAUGGGGAUGCGUUCCAUUAGUUUGUUGGCGGGGUAACGGCCCACCAAGACAACGAUGGAUAGGGGUUCUGAGAGGAAGGUCCCCCACAUUGGAACUGAGACACGGUCCAA